RNAcentral lists this ribosomal RNA (384 nucleotides) under uncultured eukaryote. RNAcentral's name for it is "SSU rRNA". It matches the Rfam family "Eukaryotic small subunit ribosomal RNA", at positions 587 to 972 of the family's 1831-position model. The record is from RNAcentral.
AGCUCCAACAGCGUACAUUACAGUUUUUGCAGUUAAAAAGCUCGUAGUUGAACUUGUGGCCUGGAUGGCUUGGUCUGACACUUAUGCGUGAGUACCUGAGCCAUCCAACCAUCCUUGGGUGGAACCUGUGUGGCAUUAAGUUGUCGUGUAGGGGAUGCCCAUCAUUUACUGUGAAAAAAUUAGAGUGUUCAAAGCAGGCUUAUGCCUUUGAAUAUAUUAGCAUUGAAUAAUGAUAUAGGGCUUUGGUACUAUUUUGUUGGUUUGUGCACUAAGGUAAUGAUUUAUAGGGACAGUUGGGGAUAUUAGUAUUUUUAGGUCAGAGGUGAAAUUCUUGGAUUCUUUAAAGACUAACUACUGCAAAAGCAUUUAUCAAGGCUGUUUUCA